AUUAAGCUUCUUUGUUUCAGCGCUUGAGAAGCUGUUAAAAGAUCAUGCUGGAAAAUAUGCGACUGGAGAUGAAGUUUCCAUGGAAGAUCUGUUUCUAGCACUACAGAUUCUGGCUGGGAUUGAACGAUUCAAUGUUGACAUGGAAGCAAGAAGAGUCUGGUUGAUGCUAUUGAGAAAGGGAUUGAUCUAUGCAAACAAAUACUAGAACUGUAUAAUGAUUAUUACCAUGGCGGACUGAUGAAGUUAGUGGUAAUUGGUGGUGAGUCUUUGGAUGUACUUCAGCACUGGGUUGUUGAAUUAUUUUCUGACGUCAGACAAGGUUCUCAAGGAAAGCCAGAGUUUAAGGUGGAAGGUCCUGUCUGGAGAGCUGGUAAACUUUACAGGUUAGAGGCAGUUAAGGAUGUCCAUAUCCUUGAAUUAAGGUAGGCACUGCCUUGUCUUUUGCAAGCGUAUCUGCAGAAACCAGAAGAUUAUCUGGCUCAUCUUCUUGGCCAUGGUAUGUAAUUCUGUAUUAUCCUAAUGCUUAAGUAGUACGUUGCUCAUGGAAAUAAUAAUAACAAAGAAAAGGAUGCAUGUGCAAAUAUGAAGAAAAUGUGAACUGUCCAGUUUUGAUGCCUUAAAAGUAAUAAGUUAUUCUUGAUUUGCCUGUAAAUGUGGAUGCUAUUUUUCAUUUGAUUCAAUUUCUAUGCUUGCUUAUAUGCAUA
Molecule: RNA transcript, 704 nt
Organism: Gossypium raimondii (Peruvian cotton)
Lineage: Eukaryota; Viridiplantae; Streptophyta; Magnoliopsida; Malvales; Malvaceae
Gene name: nardilysin-like
Exons: 4
Source: RefSeq, a predicted model, not a curated record